RNAcentral lists this ribosomal RNA (465 nucleotides) under Vreelandella stevensii. RNAcentral's name for it is "partial 16S ribosomal RNA". It matches the Rfam family "Bacterial small subunit ribosomal RNA", at positions 338 to 795 of the family's 1533-position model. Lineage: Bacteria; Pseudomonadati; Pseudomonadota; Gammaproteobacteria; Oceanospirillales; Halomonadaceae. The record is from RNAcentral.
CCUACGGGGGGCUGCAGUGGGGAAUAUUGGACAAUGGGGGGAACCCUGAUCCAGCCAUGCCGCGUGUGUGAAGAAGGCCCUCGGGAUGUAAAGCACUUUCAGUGAGGAAGAACGCCUGGUGGUUAAUACCCAUCAGGUAAGACAUCACUCACAGAAGAAGCACCGGCUAACUCCGUGCCAGCAGCCGCGGUAAUACGGAGGGUGCGAGCGUUAAUCGGAAUUACUGGGCGUAAAGCGCGCGUAGGUGGCUUGAUAAGCCGGUUGUGAAAGCCCCGGGCUCAACCUGGGAACGGCAUCCGGAACUGUCAAGCUAGAGUGCAGGAGAGGAAGGUAGAAUUCCCGGUGUAGCGGUGAAAUGCGUAGAGAUCGGGAGGAAUACCAGUGGCGAAGGCGGCCUUCUGGACUGACACUGACACUGAGGUGCGAAAGCGUGGGUAGCAAACAGGAUUAGAUACCCUUGUAGUC